Molecule: ribosomal RNA, 416 nt
Filed under: Panaspis africana
Lineage: Eukaryota; Metazoa; Chordata; Lepidosauria; Squamata; Scincidae
Description: Panaspis africanus partial 16S ribosomal RNA
Rfam family: Bacterial large subunit ribosomal RNA
Source: RNAcentral
CGGCCGCGGUAUCCUAACCGUGCAAAGGUAGCGUAAUCACUUGUCUCUUAAAUAGAGACUUGUAUGAACGGCUAAAUGAAGAUAGCACUGUCUCCUUUAAUUAACCAGUGAAACUGAUCUCCAAGUACAAAAGCUUGGAUAAAAACACAAGACGAGAAGACCCUGUGGAGCUUAAAACAACCCUAUUAUAGCUCUGUUUUAAGUUGGGGCGACUUCGGAGAAAACCAAAACCUCCGAGCACAGGGCCAGCCCCCGGCCAACAAGCCAACGACACCAAACUGACCCAGUCUAACUGAAUAACGGACCAAGUUACCCCAGGGAUAACAGCGCCAUCUUCUUCAAGAGUUCCCAUCGACAAGAAGGUUUACGACCUCGAUGUUGGAUCAGGACACCCAAAUGGUGCAGCAGCUAUUAAA